UGGGGGAAUUUUGGACAAUGGGCGAAAGCCUGAUCCAGCAAUGCCGCGUGUGUGAAGAAGGCCUUCGGGUUGUAAAGCACUUUUGUCCGGAAAGAAAUCCUUGGCUCUAAUACAGUCGGGGGAUGACGGUACCGGAAGAAUAAGCACCGGCUAACUACGUGCCAGCAGCCGCGGUAAUACGUAGGGUGCAAGCGUUAAUCGGAAUUACUGGGCGUAAAGCGUGCGCAGGCGGUUUGCUAAGACCGAUGUGAAAUCCCCGGGCUCAACCUGGGAACUGCAUUGGUGACUGGCAGGCUAGAGUAUGGCAGAGGGGGGUAGAAUUCCACGUGUAGCAGUGAAAUGCGUAGGAGAUGUGGAGGAAUACCGAUGGCGAAGGCAGCCCCCUGGGCCAAUACUGACGCUCAUGCACGAAAAGCGUGGGGAGCAAAACAGGAUUAGAUACCCUGGUAGUCCACGCCCUAAAACGAUGUCAACUAGUUGUUGGGGAUUCAUUUCCUUAGUAACGUAGCUAACGCGUGAAGUUGACCGCCUGGGGAGUACGGUCGCAAGAUUAAAACUCAAAGGAAUUGACGGGGUCAUAGCUGUUUCCU
RNAcentral lists this ribosomal RNA (590 nucleotides) under uncultured bacterium. RNAcentral describes it as "partial 16S ribosomal RNA". It matches the Rfam family "Bacterial small subunit ribosomal RNA", at positions 354 to 1375 of the family's 1533-position model. The record is from RNAcentral.